CCUACGGGAGGCUGCAGUGGGGAAUAUUGCACAAUGGGGGAAACCCUGAUGCAGCGACGCCGCGUGAGUGAAGAAGUAUUUCGGUAUGUAAAGCUCUAUCAGCAGGGAAGAAAAUGACGGUACCUGAUUAAGAAGCCCCGGCUAACUACGUGCCAGCAGCCGCGGUAAUACGUAGGGGGCAAGCGUUAUCCGGAUUUACUGGGUGUAAAGGGGGCGUAGACGGCAGCACAAGUCUGGAGUGAAAUGCCGGGGCUUAACCCCGGAACUGCUUUGGAAACUGUGCAGCUAGAGUGCAGGAGAGGUAAGUGGAAUUCCUGGUGUAGCGGUGAAAUGCGUAGAUAUUAGGAGGAACACCAGUGGCGAAGGCGGCUUACUGGACUGUAACUGACGUUGAGGCUCGAAAGCGUGGGGAGCAAACAGGAUUAGAUACCCCAGUAGUC
RNAcentral lists this ribosomal RNA (440 nucleotides) under uncultured bacterium. RNAcentral's name for it is "partial 16S ribosomal RNA". It matches the Rfam family "Bacterial small subunit ribosomal RNA", at positions 338 to 795 of the family's 1533-position model. The record is from RNAcentral.